UGGGGAAUAUUGCACAAUGGGCGAAAGCCUGAUCCAGCAAUGCCGCGUGUGUGAAGAAGGCCUUCGGGUUGUAAAGCACUUUUUGUCCGGAAAGAAAUCCUUGGCUCUAAUACAGUCGGGGGAUGACGGUACCGGAAGAAUAAGCACCGGCUAACUACGUGCCAGCAGCCGCGGUAAUACGUAGGGUGCAAGCGUUAAUCGGAAUUACUGGGCGUAAAGCGUGCGCAGGCGGUUUGCUAAGACCGAUGUGAAAUCCCCGGGCUCAACCUGGGAACUGCAUUGGUGACUGGCAGGCUAGAGUAUGGCAGAGGGGGGUAGAAUUCCACGUGUAGCAGUGAAAUGCGUAGAGAUGUGGAGGAAUACCGAUGGCGAAGGCAGCCCCCUGGGCCAAUACUGACGCUCAUGCACGAAAGCGUGGGGGAGCAAAACAGGAUUAGAUACCCUGGUAGUCCACGCCCUAAACGAUGUCAACUAGUUGUUGGGGAUUCAUUUCCUUAGUAACGUAGCUAACGCGUGAAGUUGACCGCCUGGGGAGUACGGUCGCAAGAUUAAAACUCAAAGGAAUUGACGGGGUCAUAGCUGUUUCCU
RNAcentral lists this ribosomal RNA (588 nucleotides) under uncultured bacterium. RNAcentral describes it as "partial 16S ribosomal RNA". It matches the Rfam family "Bacterial small subunit ribosomal RNA", at positions 355 to 1375 of the family's 1533-position model. The record is from RNAcentral.